AUUCUGCCCAUGCGGGGAAGGAUGAGAAGCUUCGACCAAGGUUCGACUCGAGCGCCAGCGAGAGAGCGUUGCCGCAGGCAC
RNAcentral lists this small RNA (81 nucleotides) under Escherichia coli. RNAcentral describes it as "partial RtT sRNA". It matches the Rfam family "RtT RNA", at positions 1 to 79 of the family's 130-position model. From Rfam's summary of the family: This family represents a bacterial cis-regulatory element known as RtT RNA. The exact function of RtT is unknown although it is thought that it may be involved in changing the cellular response in relation to amino acid starvation. The record is from RNAcentral. Lineage: Bacteria; Pseudomonadati; Pseudomonadota; Gammaproteobacteria; Enterobacterales; Enterobacteriaceae.